Long non-coding RNA from Ziziphus jujuba (common jujube), 1066 nucleotides. RefSeq lists it as uncharacterized. The transcript has 2 exons. NCBI's taxonomy places the organism in Eukaryota, Viridiplantae, Streptophyta, Magnoliopsida, Rosales, Rhamnaceae. The record is from RefSeq and is a predicted model, not a curated record.
UUAGCCAAUUCAUGAGCCAAAUUCACCCAAUUUUAUUUUUUUCAAAAAAGUUUUUGAACAUUAAAUCGGUUUUUUAUUUUAUUUUUAAAAAUUAGUACAAAUGAAUCUUUUUUUUUUUUGCUAUAUAUAUAUAUAUAUAUAUUUUUUUUUUUUGAGAUUGUGGCAUGUUUGGAUUAGAGGACAACGUUUUUAUCAUGGUCCCUGCCACAUAAGAUUGCGAUGGAAGCCCUGCUCUUUGCCAAAUCCCAAACGGCAAGAAGACAGCUGUCCGACCACCGGUCCACCGGAGCCUAUCAAUUCUCCGUUGUGAGAAUAUCUUUUAACUCAAAGCCUUCAUGGGUUUAUCCUCCUCCCUGCUGGCCUGAUCUGCUCUCUUUGCUUGUCUAGUAUAUAUUCAAAAAUAAGCUCUUUUCUUUUAUACUUCCUCGAUUAAGAUUUCAUUCAUCUCUAUUCAAUGUAGAGAUUUUGAAGAUUGGCAUUUUUCAGAAUCAGGAAGGGCGUGUGAAAAAUAAUAUUAGUAUCAAUCAUUAACAUGCAUUCUUCGAAGCAAAUUAUGUAUCUGUUUCUUUCCCUCUCCAUCAGUCACAGGAUAUAUGUUCUUUACCAGGCUGACCUAUAUGUUUACCUGAAUUUUACUGCUUUUCUACAGAAUAUAAAAUCAAUCUCAUCCUAUUGAUUCUGGCUUACAUUAUUACCACAGAGGCAAUUUUUGGAUAACUCAAAAAGUUGCUGUAAGAAUGAAUACGAAUGUAUAAAGUGGGUUUCCUGCAUGUACGUCUGCAAUAUGAAACAGAUACUUGGAUUAUGAUGUUGAUAGUGCAGCGAUCAACCAAGGAGAAGUUAAAAGUAGCUUUCUUUUUGAAGUUUAGCAUAGUGGAUUAUAACCCUUAGCUUAUGACCUUCAACUAUUAUUAGUAAAACAUAAUAAAAUAGUACAGAGUAGUUCCUUUCAAGGAGUACAUUGUGUAUUACUAGCCAGUCUCAUGACAGAUAUUGAGUGACAACGCUACUGUAUAGCAUCUUUGUUGUAGGUCAUGCAUCUCUAGAUCCAAUCAUUGUCUUUCUA